UACGUAGGGUGCAAGCGUUGUCCGGAAUUAUUGGGCGUAAAGAGCUCGUAGGCGGUUUGUCGCGUCUGCUGUGAAAACUCGGGGCUUAACCCCGGGCCUGCAGUGGGUACGGGCAGACUAGAGUGCGGUAGGGGAGACUGGAAUUCCUGGUGUAGCGGUGAAAUGCGCAGAUAUCAGGAGGAACCCCGGUGGCGAAGGCGGGUCUCUGGGCAGUAACUGACGCUGAGGAGCGAAAGCGUGGGGAGCGAACAGG
Molecule: ribosomal RNA, 253 nt
Filed under: uncultured bacterium
Lineage: Bacteria
Description: partial 16S ribosomal RNA
Rfam family: Bacterial small subunit ribosomal RNA
Source: RNAcentral